UUUCCUUGCAAGUAUGGCCCAAUUUCUUUUUGUAGUCCGUCUCCGAUAAGCUCACCUCUGCAGGUUCUGAGGCGAAUUCGAUUGAUGACUCCAGCUGCCAGUUUCAAGAAGAAAUCAAGCACAUCAGCAAAGCUUCAGUUGCCACUUGCAUUGCAGAUUGUUUGGAAUUGGAUUCGGAAUCUAUUCGCUGCAAUUUCAAUAAAACUUCAGGAAAACUGAUAUUGAACUAUGAUAAUGUAAACGGCUGUGUAACAAAUGAUAUUAUAUUUCACAAAAUAAGGCACUUCAAUAGUUCCAGAAAGAUGGAUGCCCAAAAUGUUAUCUUCCGUUGAAAAACGCAAGUGUUAAACAGUUUUAUGAUGUGUUUAUAUCUAUUUUAUGCAACAGUAUGUAGCUUACAAGGCACUUCUUGAUAUACGUAAAUAAACAAACAUUCCAUAAAAUAAUGCUUAAAUAUUUUCAAGCUCUAUUUAAGUUGAAACGCGAAGGGUCUCAGUUUGCGGGAAAAGGCUUUUCUAUGCAACCAAAACUCCUGGUUCCAUUUACGACGCUGGGUCUAUGGCUUGUGGCAUGAUGUGGCCCAACACAAAGCAUUGGCUGCCCAAGGAUUACGACGAAGUCCGAUGCAUCAUAGAGAGCUUACCUGAAAAUAUUCAAAAUUUGAGGAAACUACGUUUGACAGUGUACAAGAGCGAGUGCAGCAAGGAGUUUUUCUUCUGCUCCACUGACACUCCCCGGUCGCUGCAAAAAUCUUUCCUUGGUGCAGAGCUGAAUGGAAACCAAACCACUGAUGUGUUUCAAAACGGCACGUGCGCACAUUUCGAGUUUAAACUUAAGGAUAAGAAAGCCGUGGACGUCCGACUAAAAAUUUCAAAAUGUAAAGAUUCAGCUUAUUUGAUAUGCGAGCAUGAUAAAUAAAAUAAUGGCGAUGGCAGCGUCAGAGCAUGGUGUACUAUUAUUGAGUUAAAUGUAUACCGUAUUUAAAAAAUAUCG
Cloeon dipterum is the source of this 993-nucleotide long non-coding RNA. RefSeq lists it as uncharacterized. The record is from RefSeq and is a predicted model, not a curated record. The transcript has 3 exons. NCBI's taxonomy places the organism in Eukaryota, Metazoa, Arthropoda, Insecta, Ephemeroptera, Baetidae.